This 2283-nucleotide ribosomal RNA is filed under the name Triticum aestivum (bread wheat). Its description in RNAcentral is "partial small subunit ribosomal RNA". The record is from RNAcentral. Lineage: Eukaryota; Viridiplantae; Streptophyta; Magnoliopsida; Poales; Poaceae.
GUGCGCGUCGCGCCAUUUGCGGGAGCGUGGGUAGCCAUGCCCUCGAAAGCACCUUGGUCCAAUCCCAUCGCCCCGCACGCCACAACCCCUCCCUCCUUCUUCGAUCUCUCUCCCUCCUCAGCCGCCACAAACCCUAGCCCCCUUUCCUACGAUCCAGCUGUCGCUACCCCUCCUCCAUCCGACCUCCGUCGUCAGCCGCCGCCGCCGCUACGGCUCCUCCGUCCACCGACUCCGUCCGUGCAGGUGGCCAGUUUCCUUCCGCCCCGACCUUCUCCACUGUCUCCCCAGUUCACCCCCACCCCUUGCUGCCCGAGGUGCCCAUCUUUCCAGGUCAUGAGGAAGCCGCGUGAGGAUGUCUCCACGGUAAUCGGGGAACCACCACGGCGUGCCGCCGGGGGAAGCCUUGGAUCCAGGGGGCCUCCCCGGGGGCGCAGAGGAGGGGGUGUGGAGGCGUGAGGCCAGAAGGAGUUUGGAAUCGCUGGAGGAGCACAGCCCGCACGGGGGCUGGUCAUCGCCAGAGCAGAGGGGAGGAGGUCGAUGCAGGGGACGCCAUGUAUGGUCGGGGCGCUGGAUCUGCCUUUCCCCAUGCCACCGCUGUCCUACGUCAACGAUGCCGCCAUGGCCUUCUCGCCACUGACCUCUUUCCACGAAUUUUUGCCUUCAACGCUAAGGGACGGUCUGUAGGCUAGCGGUAGUGGAAUGGAAUCCCCUUGUCCAGUACCAGCCGGUGAAGAUGGAAGGAAGCCACGGAACCUCAAGGCUUAGGAACUUUUUGGGAUAACUGAGUUGGUCAAUGUCAAAAAUGGAAAAGGAGAAGGAAAUCACCAUUCGAUUUAUGAUUGGGCGUAGGUUGGAGGCAUUGGUGUGAAGGUGUCGUGAGUUAUCUGCAAGGGCAUUGUUGUGACGUGCUCCUCCAUAUCUCCUGCGAGUUCUUGGUGUGGCGAUCAUGGCUCUAGAUAGCAGCGCUUCAAGGUCACUUAAGCCUGAAUGAGUUAUCAAGUCUACUGGAACCAUUCAUGUUUAGGCUUGUUCAUUGGUUUUCGAACAGACACUCCCUUAAGUAUGUUUGAUCACAAUUAAAAGGAGGAAGUCAGAUUAUUGCAAUGUGUGGCUGCACGUAAAGUUGUCAAGAUGAUCUGGUGCUUGCUCGAGCCGUUGAUUACUGCUGCUUUGCUAAGGUUCAAGGUUGCUUAAGAAGGUGCAGUACACUACAUCGCUACACUCUAUAGUAAUGGAUUGCUGGAGAAGGGUGCAGUACACUGAUGCCAUACUGUGUUACACUGGUGCCAUUUCCAAGCUAGUUCAAAGCCAUUAUUAUUCCUCAGAUGGCGCAAUGGAAUAUGGCCAUUUAUAUUUCUUAUUUGUUAACAGUGUUGUGUACUGUAGAUGAAUUAUUGAUUAAACCUGAAUGUCGCUGACUCGACAGGACAGUGGUAGCGACAUGUUUAACACCAGGUGUUGCAGCUACUCUCUGAUUACAAAGGAUGUUUAGAAUCAGAACAAAACUAGGUAUUGUGUCUUGUGGCAUGCUGAGACUUUCAAGAAAGAGGUCCUUAUCAGAGAAGCAUUCUCUUCUUACAACUGAUGUAUGAUAUGAUUCAGUCCAAUCGUUAUUUCUCUGGGGCAUCGACAAUGUAAGCAUGUUCGAUUCAUUACCAUAUGUUUUCCUCUGAGAUGCUUCCGUCUGCUAGAUAACAUUUUUUGGUCAUGUUGCAUCACAUGGCUUGAGCAAGUAACACUUAUUUUCUACUUUUAACUCCGUACUAAUGCCUUCUUGGUUAUCUUUUAUGUUGAAACUGCAUAAUGCAGUAAGCAAUACCCAUGGCAAGUCUCUCUGUUAUGGAAGGUCCACCAACCAUAGCGUCAACUCUUAGAUUCUUUCACAUGGCAUGAAUUCUUUUCUACAAAGUGGAUCCUGUUUUUCUUUAGGUGACAAUGCAUGCUGGUUCUUUUCACUUGGAGAAAGAUUAACUCUGGAAGGCAGUAUUUUCUUUGGAUUCUUCCACUCUCCUUUUCAUGGUGCCACUAUUGACAUUCAGUUUCUGAAGCAAGUCAUUCCCUAUAUAAUGUAUUUAGGCAUCUUGCAUUUGCACAUAAUUUGUACCAGCAAUUCGUGACUCUAAGAAAUGUAGUGGUACCUUCUCUUUCAGGCUUUAAACCCGAUCAUUUUAUUUUUUUAGGUUUUUUUGUUUUGUUUUAAGAGCAAUAUAGGAGUUGAUAUGUAGUCCCCAGGCCUCUUUGUAUUCUACUAUGUGUAUGGGCCAAAGCACUCAUGAUUUUAAA